Molecule: ribosomal RNA, 253 nt
Filed under: uncultured bacterium
Lineage: Bacteria
Description: partial 16S ribosomal RNA
Rfam family: Bacterial small subunit ribosomal RNA
Source: RNAcentral
UACGUAGGGCGCAAGCGUUAUCCGGAAUUAUUGGGCGUAAAGAGCUCGUAGGCGGUCUGUCGCGUCUGCUGUGAAAACCCGAGGCUCAACCUCGGGCCUGCAGUGGGUACGGGCAGACUAGAGUGCGGUAGGGGAGAUUGGAAUUCCUGGUGUAGCGGUGGAAUGCGCAGAUAUCAGGAGGAACACCGAUGGCGAAGGCAGAUCUCUGGGCCGUAACUGACGCUGAGGAGCGAAAGGGUGGGGAGCAAACAGG